CCUACGGGAGGCAGCAGUGGGGAAUAUUGGACAAUGGGGGGAACCCUGAUCCAGCGACGCCGCGUGAGUGAAGAAGUAUUUCGGUAUGUAAAGCUCUAUCAGCAGGGAAGAAAAUGAAGGUACAUGACUCAGAAGCCCCGCCUAAAUACGUGCCAGCAGCCGCGGUAAUACGUAGGGGGCAAGCGUUAUCCGGAUUUACUGGGUGUAAAGGGAGCGUAGACGGUGCAGCAAGUCUGAUGUGAAAGGUCGGGGCUUAACCCCGGGACUGCAUUUGAAACUGUUGAACUGGAGUACAGGAGAGGCAGGCGGAAUUCCUAGGGUAGCGGUGAAAUGCGUAGAUAUUAGGAGGAACACCAGUGGCGAAGGCGGCUUACUGGACAGUAACUGACGGUGAGGCGCGAAAGCGUGGGGAGCAAACAGGAUUAGAUACCCUGGUAGUC
RNAcentral lists this ribosomal RNA (440 nucleotides) under uncultured bacterium. RNAcentral's name for it is "partial 16S ribosomal RNA". It matches the Rfam family "Bacterial small subunit ribosomal RNA", at positions 338 to 795 of the family's 1533-position model. The record is from RNAcentral.